Rhipicephalus microplus (southern cattle tick) is the source of this 73-nucleotide non-coding RNA. The record is from the annotation of a RefSeq genome assembly. NCBI's taxonomy places the organism in Eukaryota, Metazoa, Arthropoda, Arachnida, Ixodida, Ixodidae.
GCCCGGGUAGCUUAGUUGGUAGAGCAUGAGACUCUUUAUCUCAGGGUCGUGGGUUUGAACUCCUCGUUGGGCG